RNAcentral lists this ribosomal RNA (497 nucleotides) under uncultured bacterium. RNAcentral describes it as "partial 16S ribosomal RNA". It matches the Rfam family "Bacterial small subunit ribosomal RNA", at positions 28 to 507 of the family's 1533-position model. The record is from RNAcentral.
GAUGAACGCUGGCGGCGUGCCUAAUACAUGCAAGUCGAGCGAACGGACGCGAAGCUUGCUUCUCUGAUGUUAGCGGCGGACGUGUGAGUAACACGUGUAUCACCUACCUAUCAGACUGGGAUAUCUUCGGGACUCCGGAUCUAAUCCCGUAUAAUCUUUUGCACCGCAUUGUUCAAUAGUGAAAGACGGUCUUUGUGUCUCUUCUAGCUGGAUCCGCGCUUCAUUAGCUGGUUGUUAAGGUAACGGCUUUCCAAGGCAACGAGGCCUGACAGAACUGAGAGGGGGAUCGGCCACGCUAGAACUGAGACACGGUCCAUGCGCCUACGAGAGGCAGCAGAAGCGAAUCGGCCGCAAUGGGCGAAAGUCUGACGGAGCAACGGGGCGCGAGAGAUGAAAGUCCUGGGUUCGUAAAACUCUGUUAUGAGGGAAGAACAUAUGUGGAAGUAACCGUGCACAGAGUGACGGUAACUAAUCAGAAAGCCACGGCUAACUACGUG